UUCUCUUCCUCAUUGUCUCUCUUCUCCUGCCCCAUGGCGACUCUACCCCCAUCUUGAGGUCUCCUAAAACUCCUGUGUCCCCCAUUACCCUUCUCCCAAGCCCCCGUCUACCCUUUGUCCUGCCCCCAAGUCUGAUCCAUCAUGUGCCUCUAACCCUCGUCUCCGGCAGCCCUGCUUCCCAGCUACAAGCUUCUCAUUGCCUGAAGUGACCCGAGGCUGACCCAGCGCCCGCUAACCUGGCACAGGAGAACCCCUCAUUUUGGGGGACACGACGGACUCUGGGGUGGAAGGCAAGUGCUGGGUCCAAUCAACUGAACUGAUUUCUAGAGGAUUGUGAGCUGCGAUUUGAAAAACACUGAUCUGUGAGGCGUCGAGCACAUGAGUGGGCACGCACACGCAUGUGGUCUUGCACUCUUAGCGGUCAUCUCGCAC
This 432-nucleotide long non-coding RNA is filed under the name Equus asinus (donkey). RNAcentral's name for it is "lncRNA (ENSEASG00005028606.1)". The record is from RNAcentral. Lineage: Eukaryota; Metazoa; Chordata; Mammalia; Perissodactyla; Equidae.